GGGGAAUUGUUCGCAAUGGGCGCAAGCCUGACGACGCCACGCCGCGUGGAGGAUGAAGAUCUUCGGGUCGUAAACUCCUUUCGAUCGGGACGAAUGGCCGGAGACCUAACACGUUUCCGGAGUGACGGUACCGAGAGAAGAAGCCCCGGCUAACUCCGUGCCAGCAGCCGCGGUAAUACGGGGGGGGCAAGCGUUGUUCGGAAUUACUGGGCGUAAAGGGCGCGUAGGCGGCUUGGCAAGUCAGGUGUGAAAGGCCUGGGCUCAACCCAGGAACUGCACUUGAGACUGCCUCGCUUGAGUCCGGGAGAGGAUGGCGGAAUUCCCAGUGUAGAGGUGAAAUUCGUAGAUAUUGGGAAGAACACCGGUGGCGAAGGCGGCCAUCUGGACCGGUACUGACGCUGAGGCGCGAAAGCGUGGGGAGCAAA
Molecule: ribosomal RNA, 425 nt
Filed under: uncultured bacterium
Lineage: Bacteria
Description: bacterial SSU rRNA
Rfam family: Bacterial small subunit ribosomal RNA
Source: RNAcentral